UUUAUGCUGGCGGUCGCUGCGAUCAGUCCCGCGACGUUCAUCAUUUUCCCUCCGGUCCAGUUUGAAAGCCAGGUCGUCAGAGAAGGAUCACGGUUAAUCUCGCGAUCUUUUGGAAGUUCCGUUGGGGAAGAUGGCGGCGGCCGCGAGCACCCUUCUCUUCUUGCCGCCGGGGACUUCAGACUGAGUCUUCCCUGGAAGAGUGGGACUGCAGGUGCCCUGCGUCCCGGGAGCCCGAACCAACUUGGUUCCUCCAUUACUGGUGGGGAAGGGCAUAUCCUCUUGUGUAGGACUUAGGCCCUCCCCGCCGUCAGGAUGAAGGCUCAGGGGGAAACCGAGGAGUCGGAAAAGCUGAGUAAGAUGAGUUCUCUCUUGGAACGGCUCCAUGCAAAAUUUAACCAAAAUAGACCUUGGAGUGAAACCAUUAAGCUUGUGCGUCAAGUCAUGGUGAGGAUUAUGGUGAAGUAGAUAAAGUGUU
Odocoileus virginianus texanus is the source of this 475-nucleotide non-coding RNA. The record is from RefSeq and is a predicted model, not a curated record. NCBI's taxonomy places the organism in Eukaryota, Metazoa, Chordata, Mammalia, Artiodactyla, Cervidae.